This 875-nucleotide long non-coding RNA is filed under the name Linum usitatissimum (flax). RNAcentral describes it as "long non-coding RNA (LUSI_LNC007797)". The record is from RNAcentral. Lineage: Eukaryota; Viridiplantae; Streptophyta; Magnoliopsida; Malpighiales; Linaceae.
AAACACUCGUCUCCUCCUUGUGAUAAUCACCAUCGUCGUCAAAACCCACGCUAAAUCUUAUGUUCUCUCUUCCAUCCCCAUUCAAAUUUCAUCAAAAAGACAAAAGGGAUAAAGAAAUGUAAAGUUGGCACUGCAACUCUGCAACUGAGCCACGAUUUUUCAUCGGUCAUCGGCUCCAAAACCUAAUCUCUCAUCCCGCAACCAAUUGGUAAUUCAUACUAUCAACCCAUUAUGGUUUCUAAUCGAUGAUUAUAAACAAAAUUUUAGUCCCUGUUCUUUUAACCGUCAACCCUUAUUUCAACUCUGAGAAUAAAAUUGAGAAAUUCCAUCCAUGGCGGUUCUUGACUCUAACCUUGUUACAAACUGUUGACUUUGUUUUGUGUAGGGCAGAGAUUAUGGACUAGAUCCUACAACACCUAUAACAAUAUAUUUCAUUGGUUGUAUAUGCUCGGUUUGGUUACUGGAAUCCCUCUUCUGCACAAACUUAAUGAGAAAAACAAAAUAAAAAUCCCAAACUCAAGAAGCAGAGGAAAUAGGAGAUGUUGAGAUAAUGGAAGUUAGAUUCCAGAAGGUCAUGUGAAUGAAGGUAUUCGUAGAGCAUGCGGUGUAGAUAAAGACGUCCAGUAAUGUUUUAAUUUAUUAUGUGAUAAACAACUAAAUGUGAUUAUCACAUCGUAAAUUAGAACAUUAUCAUCAUCUUUAUCGAUACCACAUACUUUACAAAUACUUUCAUUGACAUGACCUUCUGGAAUCUUAUUUCUGCUAUCUAGAACUUCUUCUAUUUCUUUCUUGCUUCCUGAGCUUGAGGUUUUUAACAAUUGUUUCCCCCCUUAAGUUUGCGCACAAAAGGGAGAACCAAAAUGAAAAUGAAGAGG